Molecule: ribosomal RNA, 497 nt
Filed under: uncultured bacterium
Lineage: Bacteria
Description: partial 16S ribosomal RNA
Rfam family: Bacterial small subunit ribosomal RNA
Source: RNAcentral
GAUGAACGCUGGCGGCGUGCCUAAUACAUGCAAGUCGAGCGAACAGACGAGGAGCUUGCUCCUCUGACGUUAGCGGCGGACGUGUGAGUAACACGUGGAACACCUACCUAUCAGACUGGGAUAUCUUCGGGAAACCGGAGCUAAUACCGUAUAAUAUAUUGAACCGCAUGGGUCAAUGGUGAAAUACGGCGUUGCUGUCAGGUAUAGAGGGAUCUGGGCCGCAUUAGCUGGUUGGUAAGGAAACGGCCUACCAAGGCAACGAUGCGUAGCCGAACUGAGAGGCUGAUCGGCCGCCUGAGAACUGAGACGCGGUCCAGAGUCCUACGGGAGGCAGCAGUAGGGAAUCGUCCGCAAUAGGCGAAAGCCUGACGGAACAACGCCGCGUGAGUGAUGACGGUCUUCGGAUCGUAAAACUCUGUUAUUAGGGAAGAACCAAUGUGUAAGUAAAUAUGCACGUCGUGACGGUACCUAGUCAGAAAGCCACGGCUAACUACGUG